Molecule: ribosomal RNA, 273 nt
Filed under: uncultured prokaryote
Description: partial 16S ribosomal RNA
Rfam family: Bacterial small subunit ribosomal RNA
Source: RNAcentral
UACGGGGGGUGCAAGCGUUGUUCGGAAUCAUUGGGCGUAAAGCGCGUGUAGGCGGCUUGGUAAGUCAGGUGUGAAAGCCCUGGGCUCAACCCAGGAAGUGCACUUGAUACUGCCUUGCUUGAGUACGGGAGAGGAAAGCGGAAUUCCUGGUGUAGAGGUGAAAUUCGUAGAUAUCAGGAGGAACACCGGUGGCGAAGGCGGCUUUCUGGCCCAAUACUGACGCUGAGACGCGAAAGCGUGGGGAGCAAACAGGAUUAGAAACCCCAGUAGUCC